RNAcentral lists this unclassified non-coding RNA (241 nucleotides) under uncultured Bordetella sp. Its description in RNAcentral is "partial 16S-23S ribosomal RNA intergenic spacer". It matches the Rfam family "Bacterial small subunit ribosomal RNA", at positions 10 to 257 of the family's 1533-position model. Lineage: Bacteria; Pseudomonadati; Pseudomonadota; Betaproteobacteria; Burkholderiales; Alcaligenaceae. The record is from RNAcentral.
GGUUCGAUUAUGGCUCAGAUUGAACGCUGGCGGGAUGCUACACAUGCAAGUCGAACGGCAGCACGGACUUCGGUCUGGUGGCGAGUGGCGAACGGGUGAGUAAUGUAUCGGAACGUGCCUAGUAGCGGGGAUAACUACGCGAAAGCGUAGCUAAUACCGCAUACGCCCUUCGGGGAAAGCGGGGGACCUUCGGGCCUCGCACUAUUAGAGCGGUCGAUAUCGGAUUAGCUAGUUUGGUGGG